GUGGCUUAAUGGUUAAGCGUUCGGCUGAUAACCAAAAGGUUGUCGGUUCGAACCCACC
RNAcentral lists this transfer RNA (58 nucleotides) under Loxodonta africana (African savanna elephant). It matches the Rfam family "tRNA", at positions 7 to 64 of the family's 71-position model. Rfam says of the family: Transfer RNA (tRNA) molecules are approximately 80 nucleotides in length. The record is from Rfam by way of RNAcentral. Lineage: Eukaryota; Metazoa; Chordata; Mammalia; Proboscidea; Elephantidae.